GGUCAAGGAACAAUCAAAUUGCAUGUGGUGUACAAUGUAUUGGAGAUUGGAGUAACCAUUUUGUGUCGAAGAGAAAUUAUCAUGUCCCAAGGAUGAUCGUUGGAUUAAGUCUCUAAAUGAUAGUAUCUUAGAAGACACAACACAUCUGUUAUAUGGUAUGAUACAUUGUGAUGGGAUUGGGCAUUUGCUAUGCAUCAAUAGACUUAGAGGGGGUUCUAAGCAUCUUCGCGGCAGAGAGAUCAUGGAUCUUUGGGAUCAGAUUUGCAUAAAUCUUCGAACCAGUUACUAUCAAAGAGCUUGAUUACUACACAUAUCCAAUGAUCAACAAUAGACUCAUUGUGCUAUAAAGAUUGUCAGCAAUACAGACUAUAAAAACACAGGCA
Long non-coding RNA from Rosa chinensis, 383 nucleotides. RefSeq lists it as uncharacterized. The record is from RefSeq and is a predicted model, not a curated record. The transcript is spliced from 3 exons. NCBI's taxonomy places the organism in Eukaryota, Viridiplantae, Streptophyta, Magnoliopsida, Rosales, Rosaceae.